GACGAACGCUGGCGGCGUGCUUAACACAUGCAAGUCGAACGGAAAGGCCUGCUUUCCCUUGUGGAUUGCGGGUACUCGAGUGGCGAACGGGUGAGUAACACGUGAGUGAUCUGCCCCCAACUUGGGUAUAAGCCUGGGAAACUGGGUCUAAUUCCCGAUAGGACUGCAGGGUGGUGCCUGUGGUGGAAGACGAUUUUCUAGUUGUUGGGGAUGAGCUCGCGGCCUAUCAGCUUGUUGGUGGGGUAAUGGCCUACCAAGGCGGCGACGGGUAGCCGGCCUGGGAGGGUGGACGGCCACAUUGGGACUGAGAUACGGCCCAGACGCCUACGGGAGGCAGCAGUGGGGAAUAUUGCACAAUGGGCGGAAGCCUGAUGCAGCGAGGCAGCGUGGGGGAUGACGGCCUUCGGGUUGUAAACUCCUUUCGACCGCGAGGAAGCCACCUGGUUGGAAGGGUGGUGACGGUAGUGGUAGAAGAAGCACCGGCUAACUACGUG
RNAcentral lists this ribosomal RNA (494 nucleotides) under uncultured bacterium. Its description in RNAcentral is "partial 16S ribosomal RNA". It matches the Rfam family "Bacterial small subunit ribosomal RNA", at positions 28 to 507 of the family's 1533-position model. The record is from RNAcentral.